This 501-nucleotide ribosomal RNA is filed under the name uncultured bacterium. Its description in RNAcentral is "bacterial SSU rRNA". It matches the Rfam family "Bacterial small subunit ribosomal RNA", at positions 30 to 507 of the family's 1533-position model. The record is from RNAcentral.
CAAACGCUGGCGGCGUGCCUAACACAUGCAAGUCGUACGAGAAAGUCGGCUUCGGCCGAUGAGUACAGUGGCGCACGGGUGAGUAGCGCGUGGGUAAUCUGCCCCUCGGUCAGGAAUAACCCGCCGAAAGGCGGGCUAAUACCCGAUAACACUGACGCUCCGCGGAGCGUCUUUCAAAGAAGGCCUCUGUUUACAAGCUUUCGCCGGAGGAUGAGCCCGCGUACCAUUAGCUAGUUGGCAGGGUAAUGGCCUACCAAGGCUACGAUGGUUAGCUGGUCUGAGAGGAUGGCCAGCCACACUGGAACUGAGACACGGUCCAGACUCCUACGGGAGGCAGCAGUGAGGAAUCUUGCGCAAUGGGGGAAACCCUGACGCAGCAACGCCGCGUGAGUGAGGAAGGCCUUCGGGUCGUAAAGCUCUGUCAGAUGGGAAGAAAUGGAUGGGGGCUAAUAUCGCCCAUCCUUGACGGUACCAUCAGAGGAAGCACCGGCUAACUCCGUG